GGCCCGUUGGAGAAGCGGCUUAACUCAUAUGCCUUUCACGCAUACAUUCAUGGGUUCGAAUCCCGUACGGGUCACCA
This 77-nucleotide transfer RNA is filed under the name Bacillota bacterium. RNAcentral describes it as "tRNA-Glu". It matches the Rfam family "tRNA". Rfam says of the family: Transfer RNA (tRNA) molecules are approximately 80 nucleotides in length. Their secondary structure includes four short double-helical elements and three loops (D, anti-codon, and T loops). Lineage: Bacteria; Bacillati; Bacillota. RNAcentral also lists the same sequence under 2 other names. The record is from RNAcentral.